Non-coding RNA from Podarcis lilfordi (Lilford's wall lizard), 75 nucleotides. Lineage: Eukaryota; Metazoa; Chordata; Lepidosauria; Squamata; Lacertidae. The record is from the annotation of a GenBank genome assembly.
GACCGGGGAUAGCUCGGUUGGUAGAGCAUGAGCCUCUUAAUCUCAGGGUUGUGGGUUCAAGCCCCAUGCUGGGCA